AGGAGCCAGCAAGACUGUGAAGAGAAGUGUGUUGAACUGGAUCUCUGGAAUCUGAUUCAUAAUGCCACGACGGAGCCUGCUGCUGUCUGCAGUCAGUGACUUAUGGCCCAGACUGGCAGAGCAGAGACGGCACAGUUGCAGAAAAGAAAAGAAAGCUGACGAGCUCUGGAGUGAAGGGUGCUGUUCUGGGCCAUCUACUGUCGCUUAGUUUCCUGGCACGAAGGAGAUUCCAGGAAAACAGCAACUUCCUGCCAGCUGUAGUACUGAUUCCUCUCCAGCUGAAAUAUAAGAAAUGUUGCUGCAGCCAACAAACUAAGCUAUUUCAGAAUAUUCUGUUCCAUCCAGGAUUUGUGCUUUGGCAUACUGCUUGACUGAACAUCUUCAAUCCUUGAAGGCAUCCUUUGCAGGAUGAACAAGUGGAGCAGAAUUGUUACCUGGCUGGAGAGAAAAGCUUCACAGAACUGGGUACAGACAGCAAACCUGUAAGUAGAGAAAUUCUCAUUUACCUGGUUUAGAUUCAAGUCAGCAGAUCUCUAUUUCCCUG
This 544-nucleotide long non-coding RNA is filed under the name Apteryx rowi (Okarito brown kiwi). RNAcentral describes it as "lncRNA (ENSARWG00000001573.1)". Lineage: Eukaryota; Metazoa; Chordata; Aves; Apterygiformes; Apterygidae. The record is from RNAcentral.